This 57-nucleotide transfer RNA is filed under the name Fukomys damarensis (Damara mole-rat). It matches the Rfam family "tRNA", at positions 8 to 63 of the family's 71-position model. Rfam says of the family: Transfer RNA (tRNA) molecules are approximately 80 nucleotides in length. Lineage: Eukaryota; Metazoa; Chordata; Mammalia; Rodentia; Bathyergidae. The record is from Rfam by way of RNAcentral.
UAGCUUAAUGGUAGAGCAUUUGCCUUCUAAGGGCAAGGCUCUGGGUUCAAUCCCCAG